UGCCCCUUGGCCCAGUUGGUGAAGGCGCACGACUGUUAUAAACACGUCGUCUAUAUCACAUCGUGAGAUCGCAAGUUCGAACCUUGCAGGGGCAG
Mycena polygramma is the source of this 95-nucleotide non-coding RNA. The record is from the annotation of a GenBank genome assembly. Lineage: Eukaryota; Fungi; Basidiomycota; Agaricomycetes; Agaricales; Mycenaceae.